This is a non-coding RNA of Lolium perenne, 2559 nucleotides long. NCBI's taxonomy places the organism in Eukaryota, Viridiplantae, Streptophyta, Magnoliopsida, Poales, Poaceae. The record is from RefSeq and is a predicted model, not a curated record.
ACAACCAUUGUCUGCACAAUGAUCCCUGCACACACUCAUAUUGAGCAAUCCAUGAAUACACUUCUUUUUGCUACUUGCGCAAAGGAGCUAGUUACAAAUGCAAAGGUCAAUGUAGUCUUGUCUGACAAGGCACUACUGAAACAUCUACAGAGAGAGCAAGAUUGGAAAAUGAACUGAAAGUGCCGGAGUCAGCCUCCUGCACAAGUCAUGCUGAAGCUUUGAGAGAGAAGGAUGCACAAAUUAAAAAGGAAAUCCGCGGAACUGCAGAAAUUACAAGGUGGUUUUGACUGUAAUUUGGGUGAAUUUCCUGCAGAUGUUCUAUAAAAUUCUUGUAUACCCAGCGUGAGUACAUGGGUGACAAUCAGGUAUCAAACCUAACACAUUGAUAAGUAAUAUUGAGUGGUAAUGUACUCACUGAGUUCACAUUAUUCAGAUCUGAAAAUUUUAUUUCCUAUCAUCUAGAGGGAUGACAAAGACAUUCUUUCACAAUAUAAAGGAUUUCAGACUAUAUUAUGUUAUACAUAUACUUGAUAGAUUAAGAUUAUUACCCCAUCCCACUAAUGGUAAGAGUAAUUAUUAACCCUGGAUUACCAGUUGACUCCCUUUGUAAUUAAAUCCUAGGCUAGAAGUGAAAAGGUAGAGGAAUCUAGAAUAUGAUGCAAAAAAUAAAGAUGAGGUUUACUUUGAUGCUGUCACUAUAUUGAAUUCUUCUAUAUCCCGGAUAAGAUAUGGUAGACAUAUGUUUGUUCACAUCUUUGAUGCUAUCAAUGCCCUCUAGAUUCAAGUGCAAAUUAUUGAAUGGUUACUUCUGGUAUGCAGAAUGUGAGGAUUUUGCUGGAUAGUGAUAAUAUAAUGUACGUGUAUUGCCAUUUCCAUGAAAGUUUAGACUUGUCAUGAAUUGAGGUAUGCAUAUUUGCAGCUAUUUUUAUAACAGCGGUCCAACGAUGAUCGCUAACAGUAUUUUAAAAAAGCAAAAGUAUUUAUACACUGGAGAUGUUUAGCAUAUUUUUCUGUUUUCAAAUUGAGAUUUAGCUUAUUUUUUAUUGAGGCUAGACAUUUUCAAAAUAGAAUGUUCUUUUAUCUCAUAUCUCCGUCGAAUUAUACUUGAGACGUAGGUGUUUUAUAGGUCUACUAUUGAUAAAUGUGUAUUCCCAACUAUUUUUCAGUGGGAAUUUACCAUGAAACCAGAAGGUAGUGCAUGUGUUAUGAGAGUGUCAAGCAUGGGUUACUUUAUAUUUCUGAAUAUUUGUUUUCCUUCAUAAUUCACCAAGGGGGAUAUCUCUUUAUUUUAUUCUUAAAUCUUAUGUACGAGAGAUUGAGUGAAGGAAAUGGCUUUCCAGGGACCAGCAAGUACACGUUUGCCAGAUUAAAAAAAAUUCAGAAAGAAGACGCUACAAAGGAUGGCAAAUAAAUUCAUAAGAUUAUAUACUAUGUUUGGAAAAGCAUGAUCCAUACAUAAACCCAUUGUCUGUUAAAGUGAAGCUUGGCCUACUGAAGUCUCAAACUUACACUAAGCAGCAUAUAUGAAAUGAGAUAAUUCCACCUCUAAUUGUUCUAACAUUUCAUUUGAACUUCACAUUUGUGUAGACUGUAGUUGAAAAGACUAGCAUGGAGUGAUGGAGGUAAGAUGACAUCACUGGCCUUAAAUUUUUAUGUUGAUAGGGGUCAAGCAUCUUGCAGUACGAUGAGCUGAAACCUGGACUGAUUCGGUGAGUUUUAAAUGGCCCUUUUAUAUGUUUUAAGAACAUCAGUAAACAUUAGUAAAUGGAAUGUGAAGUUGUCAAUGGCAAGCAUACCAUUUGUGUAUGCUGAUUUUAGAAUCACUUUGAUAGAUCUUCACGUACAUUGAUUUGCGAUUUCAGCAUUACUCAAAAGUGCAGCUAAUCAAUGCCGCAAUGAUACUGGGCAGAUGUUCGUUUCAUAGUUAUCUUUCCAUCACUAGCGAGUAAGUGGUAUGCAGCUGCUCAGUUUUGCUUUCUUCAUAUAACCUCGGUUAGCUAAUUCAAUUUGAAGUAAAUAUUUAGUUAUCCUUCCAAUUAAUGUUGUUCAGAUGUUUAGUUCUCUGUUGCAUGUUGCAUAGUACAACUGUUCUAAACUUUUGUUUCUGUCUCAGUUAUUUUAAUCGUGUAACUAAUUUCCUUUGAAAUUUGUUGUGGAGGCAAGUUGGGAAUGUAUUCCUUGUUAAUUUGGUGGAUGUACCGCUGUGGUAAAGGAUACAUGCUAACUAAAUCUUUUUUUCCUCGUGUGAAGUGUUCAGAAAUUUCUCCAAUACAAUUCAUAUGCUUGACAAGGUGCAGGCAGUGAGUAACACAUGGACUGAAGGAGCAUUUUUACAGCAGUUUCAAGCAGUGGCAGGUCGACAAUUACAACGAUUUGCCUGAUUGCCUCCGACUAGGGUCGAAGGCGUCGCCACAGGUGAUCAGGACAAGCUCCGAUCCUCUCGCAAUCCCGGGCUUUUUUCUUCGAGAUUGGGCUGAUGAUAAUAUAGUGGUUUGGUUGCAUGAAGUACACACCAGGGUAUUAAAAAGUAAAUUUGGGAGAAAGAAAUAUCUCAUUCAA